Molecule: ribosomal RNA, 3037 nt
Filed under: Pseudomonadota bacterium
Lineage: Bacteria; Pseudomonadati; Pseudomonadota
Also listed under: 1 other name
Description: 23S ribosomal RNA
Rfam family: Bacterial large subunit ribosomal RNA
Source: RNAcentral
CAUCAAGCUACAAAGGGCGCACGGUGGAUGCCUUGGCGUCAGGAGCCGAUGAAGGACGCUGCCGGCGGCGAAAGGUCCGGGGAGCUGCCUAGCAAGCUUCGAUCCGGACGUGUCCGAAUGGGGAAACCCGGCGGGGGUCAUGCCCCGUCACCCGCCCCUGAAUCCAUAGGGGGCGAGGAGGUAAGUCGGGGAACUGAAACAUCUCAGUACCCGGAGGAAAAGAAAUCACCGAGAUUCCCUGAGUAGUGGCGAGCGAAAGGGGAACAGCCCAAACCGCGCCGGUGCCAUAGCCUGCAGGCGUUGCCGGCGCGGGGUUGUAGGGUGCGAUCGGACCGGGCUGCGGACCGGUCGGGGAGUUACCAAUCCUCUCUCUAGACGAAUCGCCCUGGAACGGCGAGCCGAAGAGGGUGACAGCCCCGUAGUCGAAAGGGGGAGGACUCCCUGGGUCGCAUCCCUGAGUACCACGGGACACGAGGAACCCCGUGGGAAGCCGGGGAGACCACUCUCCAAGGCUAAAUACUCCUGGCGACCGAUAGCGAACGAGUACCGUGAGGGAAAGGUGAAAAGAACCCCGGGAGGGGAGUGAAACAGAACCUGAAACCGUGUGCCCACAAGCAGUCGGAGGGCUAUGCCGCCUCCGGGCGGAAGAGCCUGACGGCGUGCCUAUUGAAGAAUGAGCCUGUGAGUUGUCGCGUGUGGCGAGCUUAAGGUGAAGAGCCGGAGGCGUAGGGAAACCGAGUCCGAACAGGGCGACCGAGUCGCACGCGGCAGACCCGAAACCGGGUGAGCUACCCAUGGCCAGGGUGAAACGCGGCUAAACCCGCGUGGAGGCCCGAACCCACCGUUGUUGAAAAAACGGGGGAUGAGCUGUGGGUAGGGGUGAUAUGCCAAUCGAACCCGGAGAUAGCUGGUUCUCCCCGAAAUGCAUUGAGGUGCAGCCCCGGUAUCGAGCGUCGCGGUGGUAGAGCACUGAAUGGGCUAGGGCGGCAGAAGCCGUACCGAACCCAAUCAAACUCCGAAUGCCGUGCCGUGCUUGCCGGGAGUGAGACGGCGGGGGAUAAGCUUCGUCGUCGAGAGGGGAACAACCCAGACCGUCGGCUAAGGUCCCGAAGUCCCAGCUAAGUGGAGAAGGAAGUGGCAUUGCUCAGACAGCCAGGAGGUUGGCUUAGAAGCAGCCAUCCUUGAAAGAGUGCGUAACAGCUCACUGGUCGAGUGGUGCUGCGCCGAAGAUAUAACGGGGCUCAAGCUGGGCACCGAAGCCACGGGUCUCGCAGGAGUGUCGUCUCCUGCGGGGCGGUAGGGGAGCGUUCUGCAGUAGGGUGAAGGCGGACCGCGAGGACCGCUGGACGAGGCAGAAGUGAGAAUGCAGGCAUGAGUAGCGAAAAGGCGGGUGAGAAUCCCGCCCCCCGUAAGCCUGAGGUUUCUUACGGAAGGUUCGUCCUCGUAAGGUUAGGCGGGAGCUAAGGUGAGGCCGAAAGGCGUAGCCGAUGCACAGCCGGUCGACAUUCCGGCCCCGCUUGGGGCUCGCUACGAGCCGCGGAGGGACGCAGAAGGGUAGCUCUACCGGCGAUCGGUCGUGCCGGGCCAACCGCGUAGGCCGAGGCCCCAGGCAAACCCGGGACCUCAGCAAGGCCGAGACGGGAGUGCGAGCGAACUUGAAACGUUCGCGAAGUGAGUGAUCCCACGCUGCCGAGAAAAGCUUCGCGGCCAGACCCCCAAGCGCCCGUACCGCAAACCGACACAGGUAGGCAGGCACUCAAGGUGCCAAGGGGCGCGAGAGAACUCUCCUCAAGGAACUCUGCAAAAUGACCCCGUAACUUCGGGAUAAGGGGUGCCCCGGUAGGGUGACCGCGCACAGCGGGAGCCCGAGGGGGUCGCAGACAAUAGGCCCAAGCGACUGUUUAACAAAAACACAGGUCUCUGCUAAGCCGUAAGGCGAUGUAUAGGGGCUGACGCCUGCCCAGUGCCGGAAGGUAAAGGGGAGGGGUCAGUGCGGCCUCCGGGCCGUGCGAAGCCCUGAACCGAAGCCCCGGUGAACGGCGGCGGUAACUAUAACCGUCCUAAGGUAGCGAAAUUCCUUGUCGGGUAAGUUCCGACCUGCACGAAUGGCGUAACGACUUGGGCGCUGUCUCGAGGAGAGACUCGGCGAAGGUGUACCACCCGUGAAGAUACGGGUUUCCCGCAGCUGGACGGAAAGACCCCGUGGAGCUUUACUGCAGCCUGAUAUUGGAUGUGGUUUUAGCGUGUAUAGGAUAGGUGGGAGGCUGAGAAGCCGGGGCGCCAGCCUCGGUGGAGCCGUCCUUGGAAUACCACCCUCGUUGGAACUACGUCCUAACCGGGGCCCUGGAUCGGGUUUCGAGACAGUGUCAGGUGGGCAGUUUGACUGGGGCGGUCGCCUCCCAAACGGUAACGGAGGCGCCCAAAGGUCCCCUCAGCACGGUUGGAAACCGUGCGGCGAGCGCAAGAGUAUAAGGGGGCUUGACUGCGAGACCUACAAGUCGAGCAGGGACGAAAGUCGGGUCUAGUGAUCCUACGGCGGCAAGUGGAAGCGCCGUGGCUUAACGGAUAAAAGCUACCCCGGGGAUAACAGGCUAAUAGGGCCCAAGAGUCCACAUCGACGGCCCUGUUUGGCACCUCGAUGUCGGCUCAUCUCAUCCUGGGGGGGUAGUACCUCCCAAGGGUUGGGCUGUUCGCCCAUUAAAGAGGUACGUGAGCUGGGUUCAGAACGUCGUGAGACAGUUCGGUCCCUAUCCACUGCGGGCGUAGGUGACUUGAGGGGGGCUGCUCCUAGUACGAGAGGACCGGAGUGGACGCACCUCUGAUGUACCGGUUGUCCCGCCAGGGGCACGCGCCGGGUAGUCAUGUGCGGUUGUGAUAAGCGCUGAAAGCAUCUAAGCGCGAAGCACGCCCCAAGAUGAGGUCACCCACCGGGCAAACCGGGUAAGACCCCAGGUAGACCACCUGGUCGAUAGGCCGGGAGUGGAAGCGCGGCAACGCGUGGAGCCUACCGGUACUAAUCGGUCGAGGGCUUGAUGCU